RNAcentral lists this ribosomal RNA (253 nucleotides) under uncultured bacterium. RNAcentral's name for it is "partial 16S ribosomal RNA". It matches the Rfam family "Bacterial small subunit ribosomal RNA", at positions 524 to 776 of the family's 1533-position model. The record is from RNAcentral.
GACGAGGGAUCCUAGCGUUGUUCGGAAUCAUUGGGCGUAAAGCGGGUGUAGGUGGUCUGAUAAGUCAGAUGUGAAAGCCCAGGGCUUAACCCUGGAAGUGCAUUUGAUACUGUCAGGCUUGAGUGUGGGAGAGGAUAGCAGAAUUCCUGGUGUAGUGGUGAAAUACGUAGAUAUCAGGAGGAAUACCGGAGGCGAAGGCGGCUAUCUGGCCCAACACUGACACUGAGACCCGAAAGCGUGGGGAUCAAACAGG